Molecule: ribosomal RNA, 386 nt
Filed under: uncultured eukaryote
Lineage: Eukaryota
Description: partial 18S ribosomal RNA
Rfam family: Eukaryotic small subunit ribosomal RNA
Source: RNAcentral
CAAUAGCGUAUAUUAAUGUUGUUGCAGUUAAAGAGCUCGUAGUUGGAUUUCUGGUGGAAGCGACCGGUCCGCCCCUCACGGGGUGUGCACUAGCGUCUGUCUUUUGCCAUCCUUGCGAAGAAGCGGUGUGGCAUUAAGUUGUCGCGCCGUCUGACUCGCAUCGUUUACUGUGAAAAAAUUAGAGUGUUUAAAGCAGGCAAUUGCUGUGAAUACAUUAGCAUGGAAUAAUAAGAUAGGACUUUGGUACUAUUUUGUUGGUUUGCAUAUCAAAGUAAUGAUUAACAGGGACAGUUGGGGGUAUUCGUAUUUCGUUGUCAGAGGUGAAAUUCUUGGAUUUAUGAAAGACGAACUACUGCGAAAGCAUUUACCAAGGAUGUUUUCAUUAA